UACGUAGGGUGCGAGCGUUGUCCGGAAUUAUUGGGCGUAAAGAGCUUGUAGGCGGUUUGUCGCGUCUGCUGUGAAAACUCAGGGCUUAACCCUGAGCUUGCAGUGGGUACGGGCAGACUAGAGUGCGGUAGGGGAGACUGGAAUUCCUGGUGUAGCGGUGAAAUGCGCAGAUAUCAGGAGGAACACCGGUGGCGAAGGCGGUUCUCUGGGCAUUACCUGACGCUGAGGAGCGAAAGUGUGGGGAGCGAACAGG
Molecule: ribosomal RNA, 253 nt
Filed under: uncultured bacterium
Lineage: Bacteria
Description: partial 16S ribosomal RNA
Rfam family: Bacterial small subunit ribosomal RNA
Source: RNAcentral